RNAcentral lists this non-coding RNA (30 nucleotides) under Homo sapiens (human). The record is from RNAcentral. Lineage: Eukaryota; Metazoa; Chordata; Mammalia; Primates; Hominidae.
UCUUUCCUCCCCAGAGCUGGAAGUUGGCGC